GCCAGGCGUGGUGGCGGGCGCCUGUAGUCCCAGCUACGUGGGAGGCUGAGGCAGGAGAAUCGCUUGAACCCAGGAGGUGGAGGUUGCAGUGAGCCGAGAUCGCACCACUACACUCCAGCCUGGGUGACAGAGUGAGACUCUGUCUCAA
Molecule: small RNA, 148 nt
Filed under: Pongo abelii (Sumatran orangutan)
Lineage: Eukaryota; Metazoa; Chordata; Mammalia; Primates; Hominidae
Description: Metazoan signal recognition particle RNA (ENSPPYG00000039215.1)
Source: Rfam by way of RNAcentral